RNAcentral lists this unclassified non-coding RNA (352 nucleotides) under Hevea brasiliensis (rubber tree). The record is from RNAcentral. Lineage: Eukaryota; Viridiplantae; Streptophyta; Magnoliopsida; Malpighiales; Euphorbiaceae.
CCCUGUACUGCAUCGUGGUCUGGCAGAUUCAAUAGCCAAAUAUAUCUGUGAUAUUCUAUCAAUGAAGUUCUUCAGUUCCGAGCACAUCAAAGUAUGAACCUNNNNNGUACAGUAAUAAGGACGUUCCGAGUGAUGAGCACCCUCAUUUCCCAUCCUGCUAGUCCUCAAUUUGAGCUACCGUCUGUUUCUGAAGAUGCCAAGUUGAUUUGAGAAUGUUAAUUAUGCACGAAAAUUCAGAGUAAGAGCCAAGCCCAAGACUUAGUCCCAGUUGCUCAAGUGUCAGAAACCCAGUUUAUUACAAAAAGAAACCAAACAGCCGGCCGGUUAAUCUCGAACAUUUAAAGCACUAUAG